AGAGUUUGAUCAUGGCUCAGGAUGAACGCUGGCGGUAUGCCUUACACAUGCAAGUCGUACGAGAGUUUUUAAUUCAAGUGGCGGACGGGUGAGUAACACGUAAGAAUUUGCCUUUAGGAGGGGGACAACAACUGGAAACGGUUGCUAAUACCCCAUAUGCUUUCGAGUAAAAUGGAUUUUUCCGCCUAAAGAGAAGCUUGCGGCUGAUUAGCUUGUUGGUGGGGUAAUGGCUCACCAAGGCGACGAUCAGUAUCUGGUUUGAGAGGGCGAUCAGACACACUGGAACUGAGACACGGUCCAGACUCCUACGGGAGGCAGCAGUGGGGAAUUUUCCGCAAUGGGCGAAAGCCUGACGGAGCAAUACCGCGUGAGGGAUGACGGCCUAUGGGUUGUAAACCUCUUUUUUCAGGGAGGAAUCAAUGACGUGUACCUGAAGAAUAAGCAUCGGCUAACUCCGUGCCAGCAGCCGCGGUAAGACGGAGGAUGCAAGUGUUAUCCGGAAUCACUGGGCGUAAAGCGUCUGUAGGUGGCUAAUUAAGUCAACUGUUAAAUCUUGAGGCUUAACCUCAAAAUCGCAGUCGAAACUGGUUGGCUAGAGUAUAGUAGGGGUAAAGAGAAUUUCCAGUGGAGCGGUGAAAUGCGUAGAGAUUGGAAAGAAUACCGAUGGCGAAGGCACUUUACUUGGCUAUUACUAACACUCAGAGACGAAAGCUAGGGUAGCAAAUGGGAUUAGAUACCCCAGUAGUCCUAGCUGUAAACAAUGGAUACUAGAUGUUGAACAGAUCGACCUGUGCAGUAUCAAAGCUAACGCGUUAAGU
This 818-nucleotide ribosomal RNA is filed under the name uncultured diatom. RNAcentral's name for it is "bacterial SSU rRNA". It matches the Rfam family "Bacterial small subunit ribosomal RNA", at positions 8 to 865 of the family's 1533-position model. Lineage: Eukaryota; Bacillariophyta. The record is from RNAcentral.